CUAAUUUCAUAUUCUUCAAUACUAUAACUAUAGGUAUAUACAUAGAGAUAGAGAUAUAUAAAAGAAAAGCAUGACAAAAAGACCAAAGUCUACUGGUGCCCCUGGUGGCGCAGAGCCCCUGGUGGCGCAGUGGUAAAACUGCCGCCAUGUAACCAGAAGGUUACAAGUUUGAUCCUGACCAGGGGCUCAAGGUUGACUCAGCCUUCCAUCCCUCCAAGGUCGGUAAAAUGAGUACCCAGAAUGUUGGGGGCAAUAUGCUAAAAUCAUUGUAAACCGCUUAGAGAGCUUCGGCUAUAGAGCAGUAUAUAAAUGUAAGUGCUAUUGCUAUUGCUACUGAAUUCAAUUUUAAAUGGAAGAUGUUCAGAGAUGGAAAUAUAUGGUGACACUCAGCAUUCAACAUCUGUUAAACAAACUAAUGGAAAUAAUGCUAUUAUUUAUGCUGUAUCAACAACAUAUGUGGCACUUUACAGUUGCUCCAUAGAAGUUCAUUUGCCUGGACCCAGCGGUGAGUUUUUGUUAUUUUCAUUUUCCCCACAUUUAGAUCCCUCAAACUGGUUCAAAUUUGAGCCAAGCUGGGUAUGUAUGUGUUCAGGGGUGUGCAAAACCAAACAUGCCUGGUUCAAGACCAGUCUGGGCUCAAAUCGAACCAAGCCAACCUGUUUUGUACACACUCCUAGUGUCUUCUAUUGUGCUGCAAAACUGUGGAUGCUACUCUCUGUUUUCUUCAGUUUUCAUCUAUCUAUCUAUCUAUCUAUCUAUCUAUCUAUCUAUCUAUCUAUCUAUCUAUCUAUCUGCCUUUUACCCUUCCUGAGGAUCUUGCAAUCCCAUCUUUCUGAAAUCUCUUAAACUACCAGUACCACUUCAAAAACUGAAAUGCACCCCAGCUUUCCACAAUAUUUUGCAUUUUUGAAUGUCAGAUCUUAAUAAUUUUAGAUCAUUUUUAAACAAGCAGAAACUUUAUAUUAUCUUUGUCCAAAUUUUUAUACAACAUAUGCAGCAAGAUCACUUCUAUCAUUCAUUUGCCAUCUCACCCUUUAGUAAUAAUUAUCUCUUAUUUCCUCCCCCACCCUUUUUUUCCCUUAUAAAGGGCUUUCUUUCUAGUCUAGUCAUGAAAGCUUAGUUUCAUAGAAAACAAAUGUUAGGAUUUUUGUUCAGCUUAUUUUUUCCCCUUUUACUGUUGAAUUCUUUAGGGAUUUGAAGAUAUGGGAUUACUGGAAUACAAAAGGAUCAAAGACCGGGUGGCAAAUACUAAAGAAAAUAAUAAGAGCUGCCACAUUAGCUUCUUAAUCAAAGUGUGGUUUUUGAAAGACCUCAUGCAUUCUAUUAUGAAAUAAAUAUACUUUAAUUUUGGAACUGAAAGAAAAUUUAAAUCUUCCCCCUCUCAAAUAUGAACAGUGUGCUCAUCUGUACUUCAGCAGUGAUCCCAGUUAUGAAACUGGAACAUUUGAACACAGUAUUUUUGGGGGGCAAAUGAUUAUUGAAAGCAAAAGAUAGUACUAACUGACCUAAGUCCUCUCUGUAGAUCUACUUUACCCUAACCAGGGGACUAUUCAAGUGUGUAAAUGGGAACAGAACUCCUACAGUCCAAUUUGUUAGGAUAAAUUUACACCAUCAAGGAAGCAGAAACGAACACAGGGAAGCCAAUAAAGGGUAAUUGAUAGAAAUGUCAUAGCUCUUCCUAUCUACCCAUCAAAAUCGAGGGCUUAAAGUAUGCCCUUGGGGCAAACAAGAAAGCACACAUGUAGCCCAAAUAUGCAGAUAAACAAACAAACAAACAAACAAACAAAUAAAUAAAUAAAUAAAUAAAUGGAAAUUUUUGAUAUUUAAUUAUCAAAAUUUGGGACCUGAGGUUUACCCUAUAAUUAGUUGUAACCUAAACUUUUCUUCCUUCUGCAAUCUUCCUUGGGAAGAGGGACUCCUUCCUCCAGAGAAAGGAAGGCUUAAGAUAUAACCUAUUAAAAAUGAAUGUUCCAGUAUAAAGCAAAUGUUAGACUAUAUGGUGGAAUGUUGGACUAUGGGAAUUCUCCUUCAUACAUUUGAAUGAUUCUUGGUUUAAGAGAAAAUGGAUUUCAAUGGCAGGCAGAAAAGUGGCCGCUCUCCAGCCUCAUGGUGGGGGUGGCAUUCUUCCACACCUUCUAUUUAAUAAUACCCCUGCAAAUUGCAGAGAGACAUACCCCUGCUAACUGAGCAGACACACCUUUUUAAAGUGGUGAUGCUCUUAUAUUUAGCAGGGGGAGAGCAACUGGCCCUAUCCAACCCCAGAACAACAUCCUUCCAGUGCCCUUUGUUUCUUUUUAAACUGUGAGCCCUUUGGGGACAGGGGGCCAUCUUGUAUAUGUAUUAUUAUUUUUCCAUGUAAACUGCUUUGAGAACUUUCAUUGAAGAGCGGUACAUAAAUUUCAGUAGUAGUAGUAGUCAUAUCAUAUCAUAUCAUUAUCAUAUCAUUUAUCAUUUAUCAUUUAUCAUAUCAUAUAUUUGUUAGCUACCCCAUAACAAAUUGUUCUCUGGGCAGCUCACAACAUGUUGAAGCCUCAUGUUGAAGGAAGGCAUGAGGCUUUCCUGAUUGGCUGAGUCACAGGGGUUGCAAUUUGGACAGCCAUUUUGGUGUCCCAUCCCUAUGGUGGUUCAGUCUUUAGUCAGGCAGGCUUUUUCUCCCUCCUUCCCAGGCACAGAAUGGGCUUUACUAGUCAUCCUUUUGGGGGCUGAUUUGGAAUUUUUUGGUUCCCAGCAGAUUGGUCGAGUCUGGGGGAUGUUGGUUUUUUUUUACCUCCACCAUUUUGUUCACCCCUUUUAGCGAGAGAGUUAAUUAGGUCAUAACUGGGCUUGAACAGAGUGGUCUAUGAGUAGGGAGGUUUGAUUGAUAGCACACUUGGGCUGCUUUAGAAAGUGAAGAGUCAUCAAUGAGUCCUUAGAGACUGUGCAACUCAGAGGCUACCUACUAAGGAUUUGCAAAAAGACUCAACCUCAAGCCACUUUGGCAUCUAAUUGCGCCGGCUUGGGGCCGGUUUUGGGGGUUCUACAGUUAAUUCAUUUGUUUUACUUAUGGCAGCCUUGGAGAUGCUCCCCCUUCCAUGGGGAGAGGUCUCCAGCAGUCCCUACUCCCUCUGCCAGCCUCCCGUAAGUGCCGUUUUGGCCCAUUUUUGGACUGUUCUGGUCUUUUCUGAGGUGUCGGAGGCCAUUUUGGAGGCUGCUGUGCAUGUGCCCUGGCCAUUUGCAUGGCUUGGUCAUUUGACUUGGGGCCAGUUAGGGGGUUCUAGCAUUCUUUUUUAAAACAAUUAUUCAUUCACUGGAGGGUCUGGUGGUCUCGGAAGGUGCAGGUGCAACUGCAGUGGGGAGUCUCUGCAGUCUCCCUCUCCCACUGCCAGCCUCCCCCAUUCCUCUAAGACUGUUUCAGAAUGGGCAGGGUGCAUGCACAGUGGCUUCCAGAAUGGCUGCUUCCACCGGGGAAAUGGCUGGAAUGGCCUGAAAAUGCCAUUCAGGGAGAAUCAGGGGAGGCUGGUGGUGGGAGAGGGAGACUGAAGAGACAUCCCUACAGUCAUGCCAGCUUCCCCUGAGGCCGUUGGACCCACCGGUGCUUGAAAAGAAAAUAAAUAAUGUUAGAACCCCUGAACCAGCUCGAAUUUGAUCCAAGCUUGGGGGGUUUGUUUGGUGGCACAAAACCAAACAUGCCUGGUUCAGACUCGAACCAAAAUGGGCAAACUGGUUUUGUGCACACCCAUAUUUGGCAGCCUUAAACUGGGCCUGAACCGGCUCGAAUUCGGGUCAGGCCCCUCGUUCAGGGUGCCAAAACCGAACAUGCCUGAUUUGAAGUUCAGUUUGGACUUGAACCAAACCACUGAAUCUGGUUUUGUGCACAUCCCAAUUAAAUAAUUCAGGGGCUUCACCAGCACAUGCACGCACACACACACACACACACUUGCAGAAUGCAGUUCUGUUAUCAAGUUAAAUUUGACCCAUUAUUUCAAUCAGGUAUGAUUAGGCAUACAUGUACAUUAUCAUCAAAGUCACAGCAUAUACAACCGUGGAGAGCAGUUGCCCACUACAUGUGGACCCUACAUAGCAUAAUAAACAUGCCAGUCUCCUAAGUAACAUAGUUUGAAAUAUUUUCACUUAAUAUUUCUGCUAAAGCUAUUGUCAGGACUAACACCUCAUAAUCAUGGUUUCCAGUACAGCUUUCAAAUGACAGCAGACAAGUCAUUCUACUACCUUAACCUUUGAAAUAUAUGUAUUGCUUUUAGCAGGUAAGCAUUCUAUUCAUCUCUCCCCACCCCGAAAAAAUAUGAAGCUUGCAAGCAGGCGAAAUAAAGCAAUGACUAGUAACCAAAAAUUUCAGAUGUCUUUAAAGGUCAGGCUGGAAAAUGUUCUGCUAAAAGGCAACAACUGACAUAUAGAAAUAACAUUAUUAUUAGUAUUUAUGAUAUUUAUAUCCAACCUUUCAGCCAGGGUUGGUGCUCAAAAUGGCUUACAAUUAAAACCUAUCAGAUGAUACAAUACAUGAAAAUGGGUGCGUGUAUGUAUAAUGAGGAGAGGAGGAGAGAUGAUAUUUCCAUCUCACUAUUCCAACUUAUGUUUUACUUUUUGAAUUUUGUAUUUCUCUUGCCAUUGCCUGCAUGGCCAACUUAUUCCUUUUGUGCAUUAUUUGAUUCAACUAAUUUUCAAGUAGAAGAAGAAGAAGAAGAAGAAGAAGAAGAAGAAGAAGAAGAAGAAGAAGAAGAAGAAGAAGAAGAAGAAGAAGAAGCAGCAGCAGCAGCCACAAUCAAUAUUUUGAGAUGUACAGAGAGAGAAGAUUGACAAAUCAGUUACCAAGCAAAAAAACUAACAAAAAACUGACCUGUCUUGGCAUUGUUCAUUGGACAAAUAUCUACCAUCUGUGUGUCUACAUAUUUAAGGACCUUUCUUCCUAUUUGUCCCUCUUGGAGUCCUGCACCGAGUUGUCCUCAACACGUCUGAUCCCACAGUCCAUGCAGUGCCUUUGAUAACUGCUUGCUGUCCUCUUAGUAAUCUACACAUCAGAUGGAAGGGACAGGCACACAUCCCCAUAAAAUAUUUUGGGUGGGUAUUGUUUCCAGUAUAUCUGGUCUUGCAUGCAGGCACAGAGGCUAUUUAUACAUGCAUACAAAACUGGGCGAAAGGAGCCCAGCCCAGUUUUACACACGCACAUGCCCAAUCCCAGUGUCACCACGGUAGCAAACCUGCCCGCAAAGCCUCCUCUCAAAAGGGGGUUAAGAGAGCAGACUGCUCAUGUGUCAGCCAUGACUGGCAGACUCAGAGAGGGGAGGGAGGGUUCCCCCUGAUGCACCACACACUCAUGCAGUAUAUUAUUUGGGCUCCAGGGGUGGGGCGACGUAGGGCUAUGCAACCCUGCACAUCGAUCCUUGGAGUUACCGGCAGCAGUCAGUUCUCAUCUGGGCUAGGGGUAUGCAAACAGGUUCGAGGUUGAACAGGUUUGACCUUGAACCUGUUUGGUUUGAUGGUCCAGCGCCAGACCAAACACCCUUGGCCAUUCGGGCUUGUUCACAAAUAUGUAUUUUUUUAGUUAUUUAACCCCUCUGGGGGUUGCUAGUAUGGCCGUGGGGGGCCUCCAGAGGUGCCUCCUCCCCCUGGUAGCCUCCAAAAUUGCCCCCAUUCUGGGCCUCAGCCCAUUGUGACAUUAGGUAUGUGCAACGGCCACCAAAAUGGCCACCACAAUGGGGGUGAGACCCAGAAUGGGCCGAAGAGCACCUGGAAUGGGCCAAAGAGUGCCCGAACCAGGUCAGGGGGCAAUUUUGGAGGCUGGCGGUGGGGAGGCACCUCCAGAGACUCCCUGAAGCCACACUAGCGACCCCCAGAGCAAGUGAAUAACUAAAAAAAAAAAUUGAAAACCAAAUUUAUCCAUGAACCCCCUGAACCAAACCGAGGGAGGGCUCGAGGCGGUGCCUGACCGAACUUGCCCGGUCUGGGUCCAGUUCAGACUUGAAGUGAACCGGGCCAGCCAGUUUUGUGCACACCCCUAAUCUGGGCAGGCAAUCUGCCUGCCCAAAGGAAGCAAAUAGAUUGUCUGCAGGGAGGUAAGCUCUUCAGGGCUUCUUCCCCGCAAAUCCUGCAGCCUCUUCUCACUGCUCAUGAGAAAACGCUCACAGAAUAUUUGGCACAGUUUGGAAACAGCUCUUGAGAAGAAAUGGCUCAGUCCAGGAGAGGCAGCAAACUUUUGUUUUCUUUCCUAAAGAAGAAAGCAAGCAAAUGAAUAAAUAAAUCAACAAGAAAACAAGGAGGAAAGAACAAGGUAAGUUUGUUACGGCUAGUCAUUUCUAGGGUUUGAUUUCUGGCUUGGUAGGGGUUUGUUUUUGACAGAGCAGUUUCAGCUUCAGUUGUGCCUAGAAAGAGAGUUGGUGAUGAUUAGCUGCAGGUGAGUCACACAGCUUGUGGGAGGGACCACAUUCCUGAGGUGGCUCAGGUUGGAAGUAGCUCUUGAGAAGACAAGGCUCAGAGCAGGGAGACUUUGCUACCCAGAGCUUUGCACUUAAGAGUUAGCUAAUAGCUAUUGAAGGGGUUUUCCAUGGAGUUUAGUGGGGAAGUGUGCAGUGAGGUGCACAAGUAGUUCCACUUUAUCACAAAGGAAACACCAAGCAUGAGGAGAGGGUGAAUACUAGAGAGCUUGAAUAUUUUAAUUAGCUGACAACUGCAGCUAAGACCUAGCUUUCAAGUAAACCCACUAUAUAUAUAUUCUAUAUUCUAAAUAGCCAAUACAACCAGUUAUGAAGAUAAAAUCCUAGCAGUGGAGGGGGUACUGAGUCGGGUGGGAGAGCUGUUGGGGCGCAGUGUGGCGCCGCCCGGCUCCCCUCAGACCAUCGGGGGAGCCUGUCGCUCUCUUGCCUGUGUCUCCAGCGGGAAUAGGAAGUGUGUGGCUCCCAAUUUGGUAGGGUGGAGGAGGCUGGAGCAGGGGAGGUUCCUCCUGCUAUUGCUGCUGCUGCAGCUUGGUGGAAAUAAGCAGGGAUCUCUUGCAAAGCCGAGCUGGAGCUGCUGGUAUGAGAGCGAGGCGGUGAAAUGGGUCAGAGAUGAAAAGGGACUCUCGGAUCGCUGCCUCCUGUCCUCCCACCCCUCCCUCGGCCUUUCAGAAAAAAGGGUGGGCUUAGCUUUUGGGGAGGAAAAGGUUAGGGAGGGACAAAGCUGCAGCAUGCGGGGGGGAUGGGACGUGAAGCUCGCGCACGAUGUGCGCGUGCGCAAAAGGCUUGCCAGAGCCUUUUGCAUUGCAGAGGAACAAGGGGCAGCAGGGAGCUAUCCUGCUGCCCCAAUUCUUACAAGAAAUACGAGCGCUGGAAGGGGACAAGUGGCGGGAGGGGUAAGUAAACCCUCCCCGCCCUUAAAGGAACCCACCCCACAGUGCCAGACCGCACCUUUGCGGUUCCGUGCACACCCCUACCAGGAGGAUGCCAGCAUGGCUAACAAGUGAAGGAAGCUAUAAAGGGGGGAAAGAUUUCCUUCAGAAAUUGGAAGGCAUGACCCAAUGAAGAGAACAGAAAAGAACACAACUCUUGCAGAAUUAGUGGCUCAGGGCAAGGAGACAAUAAGAGAGGCUAAAAGAGAGUUUGAGCAACAUUUAGCUAAAAACAUCAAGGGGAAUAUAAAAAAAUACAUCAUUUAAAUACAUCAGCAGGAGGAAACCUGCCAGGCAGAGGGUUGUACCAUUAAAUGAUGAGGGAAUUAAAGGGUUUGCUAAGUAGGAUAUAGAGAUUGCAGAGAAGCUAAAUGAUUUCUUUGCAUCUGUCUUCACAGCAGAGGAUACUGAGCAUAUACCUGUGUCUAGGGAUGUAUGAACUGGCUCAAGGUUGAACCGGGCUGAGUCCCAUUCGUCUGAACCUUAAGCUGAAUUCCUCCCACCCCGGCUGGCUCAGGGCUAGUUCAGUGUUCUAAACGUGUGAUUUUUUUUAAGCUUAUGGGUGGGUCUGGUGUCCUUUGCGGAGUGCUGCCGUGGCAAAUUUCUGGAUGUUUCCCUUCCCCCACUGGCCUCUCCCUGGUCUUAUAUGGGCUGUUUUGGUCCAUUUCCAGGCCAUUUCAGCCCUUUCCAUGAUUGCAGCAGCCAUUUUGGUGGUCACCGCACAUGUGCCCUGACCAUUUGUGUGACUUUAAAAGCUUGUAUAUGCUUAAAAAACAUUGUUUUGGAACAUUUAUAACCCUGAACUGGCUCGAACUUGAGCUGAGUCAGGGUUCUAGUUCACAGGCACAAAACCGAACAUGUCUGGUCUGGUUUUAGUCCAGUCCAGACUUGAAUCUAAAAGUUCAAACCAGUUUCCCCUAGCCUGAACCAAGCUUCUAAAGGACAUAGGCCAAAGAAGAGAGUCAGAUAGAGGUGAUGAAAGAUGAUGAUCUAAACUGUAUGAAAAUAUUAAAAAUUAAAUCGCCAGGACCAGAUGGCAUCCACCCAAGAGUCUUAAAAGAAAUCAAAUGUGAAAUUGCUGUCCUCCUGACAAAUAUAUAUAACUUAUCCCUACAAUCAGGCAGAGGACCAGAGGACCUCUGAAAAGUAACCAAUGUAACACCAAAUUUCAAAAAGGGAUCCAGGAAGGAUCUGGGAAAUUACAGGCCAGUGAACUUAAUGUCUGUUCUGGGCAAAUAGAUGGAAAGCAUUUUCAAGGCAUAUAAUUGUUAAGCAUAUAGAAAAAUAGGCCUUGCUGAAGGAGAAUCAGCAUGGCUUCUGCAAAGGUAACUCUUGCUUCACCAAAUCGUUGCGAGUUCUUUGAGAGUGUCAUCAGGCAUGUGAAUAAAGGUAAUACAGUUGACAUAGUAUAUUUGGAAUUCCAAAAAGCUUUCAGAAAAGAUCCUCAUCAAAGACUCUUGAGAAAACUUAGCAGUCAUGGAAUAAAUGGACAGAUUCAUGUAUGGACUGGUAACUGGCGGAAGGACAGGAAACAGAGGUUAGGUAUAAAUUGACAGUUUUCACAAUGGAAGUAAGUAAGAAGUGGGGUCCCCAGGGAUCUGUACUGGGACCAGUGCUUUUUGAAUUUAUUCAAAAAUGAUGUAAAAGUUGGGAUAAGUAAAGAGGUGGUCAAAUUUGCUUGACACCAAACUAUUUAGGGUAGUGAAAUCUAAAACAGGUUGUGAGGAACUCCAAAAAGAUCUCUCCAAACUGGGUGAGUGAGCGACACAAUGGCAAAUGUGGUUCAAUGUAAGGAAGUAAGUGAUGCAUAUUUGGGCAACCCCCCCUCCCAACUUCACAUAUAUACUGAUGGGAUCUGAGCUGUCAGUGACUGACUAGGAAAGGGAUCUUGGGGUUAUGGUGGACAGCUCAUUGAAAGUGUUGACUCAGUGCAUGGCAGCUAUGGGGGGAAAGCAAAUUCCAUACCAGAGAUCAUUAGGAAGUGGACUGAAAAUAAGAAUGCUAAUAUUAUAAGGCCUUUAUACAAAUCUAUGGUGCGGCCACAUUUGGAGUACUAAUACAUACAGUUUUUGGUCACUGUUAGUGGUGUUCAUGGACUAUUUGGUGUGGUUCAGUCUGAAUGUGGUUCAAAUUUGGACUGAACCAUGCCAAAGAUUUGGUUAGGUUGAACUGAUCGGCUGGGCCUCAAAACAAUUCAUGAUUGAAGCUCUAGAACAGGCCUGGUUCAUGGCGGUCCAGUUCUCUUGUGAACUGGUUCUGCACAUCCCUAGUCACUGUAUCUUAAGAAGGCCACUGUAGAACUGGAAAAGAUGCAGAAGAGGGCAACCAAGAUGAGCAGGAUCCUGGAGCACCUUCCUUAUGAGGAAAGGCUACAGCAUCUGGGCCUUUUUAGUUUGGAAAUCAGGCUAAUAUGGGGAGUCAUGAUAGAGUUGUAUAAAAUUAUGCAUGGAGUAGAGAGAGUGGAUAGAGAAGAAUUUUUCUCCCUCUCUCAUCACUAAAAUCAGGGGUCAUCCCAUGAAACUGAAGGCCUGGAAAUUUACGACCAACAAAAGGAAGUAUUUUUUCCACACAGCACAAUCCAUGGAAUUAUCUGCCAUGAGAUGUGGUGAUGGCCACUAGUUAGUUUGGAUGGCUUUAAAAGGGGCUUAGAUGGCUUGGAUGGCUUUAAAAGGUUCGUGGAAGACAGGUCCAUCAAUGGCUACUAGUUGGUGGAUAUAGGCCACCUCCAGCCUCAGAAGCAAGAUUCCUCUAAAUACCAGUUGCUGGGGAGCAACAUCAAGAGAGAAGACAUGCUCUCACCUCUUGCCUGUGGGCUUCCCAGAGGCAUCUGUUGGGUCACUGUGUGAAACAGAAUACUGGACUAUAUGGGCCUGAUCCAACAGGGCUGUUCUUAUGUUCUUAUCUAAUUAGUAGCUGUCAGGCUUAGCUUCUGUGCAGUUGAGUGCAGGACAGGACAGGACAAGACAGGGAAUGUAGUCUGUAAAAAUUACAUCAGAAGAUCAGGGAGUGCUUUAUUCUUCCUCUAGUGUGUGGGUCGAUAGAUCAGUCCGAUGUCCAUCUUGUUAAAUUUUUAUUGUCGGACAGGGAUUCUUCUGUUUCAAACUAUGUUGCAAGGUUCUGUUAUAUCAUUUCUAGAUUGUACAAAGGGGAGUCACUUUAUGUUUAAUUUUACUAUUUUACUCUUGUAUUUUAUUUUAUUUUGUACUUUGUUCUUGUUGUACUUUGUCCUUGUAUUUUUGGUCUAUGACAGUAAAUAAAUUAUAUAAUCUAGUCUGUAAUCUGCAAAUAGCAAGAGCAGAUUUCCGUCUUUAGUCUAGAGAUGGGGAAGUUCACUACCACUCAUGGUGGAUUGGUUUGAGAUGAGGAAAGAUAUUUUCCCCUCAAAAUUGGAAAAUAGCUCAUUUCUGGGCUAGUGCAAAUUGGCUUCUAAGUGCUUUUAUCCCACUUUACUGGCUAGCCCCUUCCAACCCUCCAAUACCAGUCCCUAAAUUCCCUUGUCCUUUCCUUUUAAACCUCAUUUACCUGACUGGAGUGACUGGUUGAGGCAAGUUCCUAUGGGGAUAUGGAAAAGAAGUUAGAUGAAGAGGUUGUACCCUUGAAGACAACUGAUGUGGAGGGAACACUUGGUCUUGCAGUCACAGAGGAGUGAGGACCCUUGGGGUAUUGAAGCUGGCAGAAUACCUGGCCUUGCUGUUACUCCCACUACUACCAGAUAGUAUCAACUGGGGUCAGAGACCUUGAAAAUACAGUUUUCAGAACAAUCUCUGCUAAGAAUGUAACACCACUGUGGGUUCCAAAGUGACCUGAAAGCAAACAUCAGAUUCACAUUCAGUUAUGAGAUAAUUUAUAUAAGACUUUGAAAGAGAGGAAGAGUCAACAGAGAGAGAAUUCUGUAUUUCUUUGGAAGGGGUGGGUGGGGGGAAUUAGCAGAUACUUGACACAGUGAAAGGAUCAAGAGAAAUUUCAGUUUUAAAAGUGGUUGCAGAAAACUGGCCAAGUUUAUUGUACGAUAUUACUGGUGGUUCAGGAAAACUGUACAAUAUAUUGUGCUUCUAUAUUAUGUAUUGGAUCUUAGGCUGUUCUAUCCUCCAGGACACAUAGGGAAUUCCUGCCCUUACCUGUAACCAUUGAGAGAUGAUGGUGAUGGACACCGCUGUCAUCACUAUGCAUAUGUGGAGUUUCUGGCUGGAUAUUUGCCCCAUAUGCUUGCAUUUUGCUGUCUGAGCUACCCCUCCUUCUGCCACUACCACUGCUUUCCAACUAUUAUAGGUAAGGCCAGGAAUGUCUCCCCUUGUUCAUUUUCCCCACAGUGAGGCUGGCAGUUCCUAUUAUCAAGCCUUAUCACCAGGACUACCUCUGGAGAGGAGCACCAGGCAUCACAUCUGGUAAACUAACUGGAAAAGGAAGCUUAUCUGAAAAGGACAUUUCUGCUAUGAGGCUCAUGUCUGUACACCUAGAAAGUUCAGGUUGUGGGCAGCAUCCAGACUAAGGCCAUAUUUGCAUGGAACAUGGAACUGCAGGUCCAAUGAACCUGCAGUUCCACUCCCAACCCACACCACUCUCCUGUCAGCAGUCAAGGGAACUGUAGAGAGAAGGGGGAAUUGGCUGUGUGGGCAUCCUUCUUGCUUGAAGCACAUGGCCAAUCAUGGCCAAAGAGAGGGAGGAGCUUCCUCCCUCAACUCUAGUUAGACCAAAUUCAGCCUCCAAUACUGCAUUCGGACAUUUUUCUCCCAGACUCAAACCCUGGUUAUGAGCAGUGAAACCCACUACAAACUGAGACUUCAAAUUGGAGUCUGAGGAGCAAAAUCGUGGGUCACUUUACAGACAGAACCAGAGUUGCAUGCAUUCAAAUGUAAUUUCUUGGCAACCUCUGGCCCCAGCAACUCUGGUUCUGCAUUAUGUGCAAAUGUGGCCACUGUUACUCAUGACUAAGUCCCAUUGAAAUGAAUGGGUCGUAAGUCAGUCAUGACUAAUUUGUCUCGUUAAUUUCAAUGAUGCUUAGUCAUGACUAACUAAACUGGACACUGCCCUGUAUUUGAAGUCACAUGAAUGGAUCACUAAUUUGACUAUAUUUUGUCAAAGAAGCACUAUGCAGAUAAACCUGCAUAAAUGUAAUAGUCUGACAAGUAGCGUUGGAAUGACCUUCUGCAGUCCUGACAGGCAGUAGCACUGGAGGAAGAGAUGAAACUGUGGGUGUUCAGAUGGCUGAAGCAAAGACCAAGAGGAUAUUGCCUUGAAGGUUACUGCGUUCCUGGGACUAGAGACAAAGACUGGAUCAGAUGCUAUGUUCAGCGGAUAAGGUUCAUAUGUUCAUAAGGCUGUGUAGGUGGCUGGAAAUGAUGCAAGAGAUCUGGCAAUGGGUCUGCAAAUUUUUUAAAAAAUGUUUUCUCCCCAGGGAGGUUGUAAAGAGGCUGGGAAGCCUUGAUUAAAGAGGACAAGCUUUAAUUCCAAGAGGAAAGAUGAUCCAAUCGUCUACUUUGGCACUGCGCUUCUUGUAUUUUUUUUUACAUGAUCCUAAAAUAUGGUAUUGCUAUGACUAUUUGCAUGAACCUAUUUUGCAGGAUAUGAUAGCCAACAUGACAGGCAGCCCCCUUUUGAUAGAAGGGACCUGCCAGGGUGUUGAUGGUGUAGUGAUGAGGUUGUAGUGGAAUGACUUUAAACUGCUUCUGGGCAGCAGCCCCACACUCCUUUCCACUGGAAACGAGUGGCAUUGCAGCUUCAAAGUGCUUCAAAGUAGGGUUGUGUGUUUUGUUUUGUUUUUCUGUUUUGUUUUUGGCCUGAAUGCAAAACACCCCCAUUUUGUUCUUUGUUCAAAAUUAGCCGAUCCAAAACACCCCAAUUUGGUUCUUUGUUUGAAAUUUCAAAAUCCCAAUCUGAAACAUUUUGGAUUAAAAAAAAUGGCCCUGGGGCAAAACUAGUGGAUGGGGGUGGUAGUGCCCCAUGUGUGGAAGCUGCCACCCAAAUUUCAGAGGAAUUGGGCAAAGGGUUGAUUUUGGGUGAUUUUUUUAUUUUCCCAUAGGAAAAAUGGAGGUUUCAGCAAAAGUACAGCUUCAUGUCGGGAGUGAAAGGAGGUGGCCCAGAGCAGAGCAGAGUGGGUGGUAGUUCCCAGUGAGGGCAAGGAAGCUGUCAGAAUUGUUUCAAAGGAACUGGA
Molecule: long non-coding RNA, 13505 nt
Organism: Hemicordylus capensis (graceful crag lizard)
Lineage: Eukaryota; Metazoa; Chordata; Lepidosauria; Squamata; Cordylidae
Exons: 4
Source: RefSeq, a predicted model, not a curated record